AGUGAACGCUGGCGGUAGGCCUAACACAUGCAAGUCGAACGGCAGCACAGUAAGAGCUUGCUCUUACGGGUGGCGAGUGGCGGACGGGUGAGGAAUACAUCGGAAUCUACUUUUUCGUGGGGGAUAACGUAGGGAAACUUACGCUAAUACCGCAUACGACCUACGGGUGAAAGCAGGGGAUCUUCGGACCUUGCGCGAUUGAAUGAGCCGAUGUCGGAUUAGCUAGUUGGCGGGGUAAAGGCCCACCAAGGCGACGAUCCGUAGCUGGUCUGAGAGGAGGAUCAGCCACACUGAAACUGAGACACGGUCCAGACUCCUACGGGCGGCAGCAGUGGGGAAUUUUGGACAAGGGGCGCAAGCCUGAUCCAGCCAUACCGCGUGGGUGAAGAAGGCCUUCGGGUUGUAAAGCCCUUUUGUUGGGAAAGAAAAGCAGCAAGUUAAUACCCCGCUGUUCUGACGGUACCCAAAGAAUAAGCCCCGGCUCUCUUCG
Molecule: ribosomal RNA, 490 nt
Filed under: uncultured bacterium
Lineage: Bacteria
Description: partial 16S ribosomal RNA
Rfam family: Bacterial small subunit ribosomal RNA
Source: RNAcentral